UACGGAGGAUCCGAGCGUUAUCCGGAUUUAUUGGGUUUAAAGGGUGCGUAGGCGGUUUGAUAAGUUAGAGGUGAAAUGUCGGGGCUCAACCCCGAAACUGCCUCUAAUACUGUUGGACUAGAGAAUAGUUGCGGUAGGAGGAAUGUAUGGUGUAGCGGUGAAAUGCUUAGAGAUCAUACAGAACACCGAUUGCGAAGGCAGCUUACCAAACUAUAUCUGACGUUGAGGCACGAAAGCGUGGGUAGCAAACAGG
This 253-nucleotide ribosomal RNA is filed under the name uncultured bacterium. Its description in RNAcentral is "partial 16S ribosomal RNA". It matches the Rfam family "Bacterial small subunit ribosomal RNA", at positions 524 to 776 of the family's 1533-position model. The record is from RNAcentral.